AACGUAGGAGACAAACGUUAUCCGGAGUUACUGGGCGUAAAGGGCGUGUAGGCGGUUGGUUAAGUCUGGCGUGAAAGCUCUCGGCUAAACCGGGAGAGGUCGUUGGAUACUGGCCGACUAGAGGACGGUAGAGGCGUGUGGAAUUCCGGGUGUAGUGGUGAAAUGCGUAGAGAUCCGGAGGAACACCAGUGGCGAAGGCGACUACCUGGCCUGUUCUUGACGCUGAGGCGCGAAAGCUAGGGGAGCAAACGGG
Molecule: ribosomal RNA, 253 nt
Filed under: uncultured bacterium
Lineage: Bacteria
Description: partial 16S ribosomal RNA
Rfam family: Bacterial small subunit ribosomal RNA
Source: RNAcentral